RNAcentral lists this long non-coding RNA (274 nucleotides) under Hordeum vulgare. RNAcentral's name for it is "long non-coding RNA (HVUL_LNC013503)". Lineage: Eukaryota; Viridiplantae; Streptophyta; Magnoliopsida; Poales; Poaceae. The record is from RNAcentral.
UUUUUCCUGUUUAGGUUUAGGAUAAUUAGUGUUUGGUUUAGGUUAGUGCUAGGUUUAGGUUUAGGUUUAGAUUUAGAUAAUUAGAAGAAGAAGAAGAAAGAUGAAAAAAGAAGAAGAAAAGAAAAAAAGUUAAGUAGAAGAAGAGGAUAGAGGAAAAAAGGAAGAAGAGGAAGAAGAAGAAGAGGAGGAGGAGGAGGAGGAGAAGAAGAGAAGAAGAAGAAGAAGAAGAAGAAGAAGAAGAAGAAGAAGAAUGAGGAGGAGGAGGAGGAGGAGA